GCGAGUGAAGCGGGAAGAGCUCAAAUUUGAAAUCUGAUGGCCUCAGGUCAUUCGAGUUGUAAUCUAUAGGAACGUUUUCCGUGCCGGCUCAUGUACAAGUCCCUUGGAACAGGGCGUCAUAGAGGGUGAGAAUCCCGUACUUGACAUGAACUACCGGUGCUCUGUGAUACGUCUCCAACGAGUCGAGUUGUUUGGGAAUGCAGCUCAAAAUGGGUGGUAAAUUCCAUCUAAAGCUAAAUAUUGGUGUGAGACCGAUAGCGAACAAGUACCGUGAGGGAAAGAUGAAAAGCACUUUGGAAAGAGAGUUAAAAAGUAUGUGAAAUUGUUGAAAGGGAAACGAUUGAAGUCAGUCAUGUCCUUCAGAUUCAGCUGGUUCUGCCGGUGUAUUUCUGUUGGAUGGGGUCAACAUCAGUUUUGGAUGCCGGAUAAAGGCAGGAGGAAGGUAGUACUCUCGGGUAAACUUAUAGCCUCCUGUUGCAUACGGUGACUGGGACUGAGGAACGCAGCUUGCCUUUAUGGCCGGGGUUCGCCCACGUACAAGCUUAGGAUGUUGACAUAAUGGCUUUAAACGACCC
Molecule: ribosomal RNA, 575 nt
Filed under: Piskurozyma cylindrica
Lineage: Eukaryota; Fungi; Basidiomycota; Tremellomycetes; Filobasidiales; Piskurozymaceae
Description: eukaryotic LSU rRNA
Rfam family: Eukaryotic large subunit ribosomal RNA
Source: RNAcentral